Molecule: transfer RNA, 71 nt
Filed under: Camelus bactrianus (Bactrian camel)
Lineage: Eukaryota; Metazoa; Chordata; Mammalia; Artiodactyla; Camelidae
Also listed under: 2 other names
Rfam family: tRNA
About the family: Transfer RNA (tRNA) molecules are approximately 80 nucleotides in length.
Source: Rfam by way of RNAcentral
GGGGAUAGCUCAACUGGUAGAGCACGUGCUUACCAUGCAUGAGGUUCUGGGUUCAAUCCCCAGUAUCUCCU